RNAcentral lists this ribosomal RNA (701 nucleotides) under Bacillus nakamurai. Its description in RNAcentral is "bacterial SSU rRNA". It matches the Rfam family "Bacterial small subunit ribosomal RNA", at positions 534 to 1238 of the family's 1533-position model. Lineage: Bacteria; Bacillati; Bacillota; Bacilli; Caryophanales; Bacillaceae. The record is from RNAcentral.
GCGGGGGCUGUCGGAUUAUUGGGCGUAAGGGCUCGCAGGCGGUUUCUUAAGUCUGAUGUGAAAGCCCCCGGCUCAACCGGGGAGGGUCAUUGGAAACUGGGGAACUUGAGUGCAGAAGAGGAGAGUGGAAUUCCACGUGUAGCGGUGAAAUGCGUAGAGAUGUGGAGGAACACCAGUGGCGAAGGCGACUCUCUGGUCUGUAACUGACGCUGAGGAGCGAAAGCGUGGGGAGCGAACAGGAUUAGAUACCCUGGUAGUCCACGCCGUAAACGAUGAGUGCUAAGUGUUAGGGGGUUUCCGCCCCUUAGUGCUGCAGCUAACGCAUUAAGCACUCCGCCUGGGGAGUACGGUCGCAAGACUGAAACUCAAAGGAAUUGACGGGGGCCCGCACAAGCGGUGGAGCAUGUGGUUUAAUUCGAAGCAACGCGAAGAACCUUACCAGGUCUUGACAUCCUCUGACAAUCCUAGAGAUAGGACGUCCCCUUCGGGGGCAGAGUGACAGGUGGUGCAUGGUUGUCGUCAGCUCGUGUCGUGAGAUGUUGGGUUAAGUCCCGCAACGAGCGCAACCCUUGAUCUUAGUUGCCAGCAUUCAGUUGGGCACUCUAAGGUGACUGCCGGUGACAAACCGGAGGAAGGUGGGGAUGACGUCAAAUCAUCAUGCCCCUUAUGACCUGGGCUACACACGUGCUACAAUGGACAGA